UGCAGUCAAGUCAAAUUCGGCCCUCGUCUUGCCAUGGCGGAGGCUGGCCCAGAUGGCUGCCACAGCAAGCUCCGCUGCUCAUGGGCUCUGGGUCCCCACCUGGGACCUAGGGAUAAGUUUGGCUGUGGACAAGG
Molecule: small nucleolar RNA, 134 nt
Organism: Heterocephalus glaber (naked mole-rat)
Lineage: Eukaryota; Metazoa; Chordata; Mammalia; Rodentia; Bathyergidae
Product: small nucleolar RNA, H/ACA box 5C
Source: Ensembl